AUUCUCUGUUUGGGGAUCGCAACUCGAGGAGGAUGUCAUCAAAAAAAAGUUAUCUUUGCUGUUGGUUCGACAACCGAGAUGCGGAGUUUCAGCAAAUGGAGCUUUUUCCCACAGACGUGUGAAGGAUUGGGAUCUCCAAAAGCAGCUCAGACGGAGUUUCAGCGCAUAGACUUCCGUUUGACCAGUACUUGAUGUGUUUUUCUGACCUCUGGAAGACCAGAUUGGGCCAGCAUUUCAUUCAUUUUACUGCAUUGUACCCAUAUAGAAAUAAAUGUUCUGUAAUGCUAAUCCA
Pygocentrus nattereri (red-bellied piranha) is the source of this 292-nucleotide long non-coding RNA. RefSeq lists it as uncharacterized. The transcript has 3 exons. NCBI's taxonomy places the organism in Eukaryota, Metazoa, Chordata, Actinopteri, Characiformes, Serrasalmidae. The record is from RefSeq and is a predicted model, not a curated record.